AUUGAACGCUGGCGGCAUGCCUAACACAUGCAAGUCGAACGGGGGCAGCAAUGCCCUAGUGGCGGACGGGUGAGGAAUACGUAGGAAUUGGCCCACGAGUGGGGGACAACCUGGGGAAACCCAGGCUAAUACCGCAUACGCUCGCGAGAGGAAAGCGGGGGACCUUCGGGCCUCGCGCUGGUGGACAAGCCUACGUCCGAUUAGCUUGUUGGUGGGGUAAAAGCCUACCAAGGCGACGAUCGGUAGCUGGUCUGAGAGGAUGAUCAGCCACACUGGGACUGAGACACGGCCCAGACUCCUACGGGAGGCAGCAGUGGGGAAUAUUGGACAAUGGGCGCAAGCCUGAUCCAGCAAAUGCCGCGUGGGUGAAGAAGGCCU
Molecule: ribosomal RNA, 378 nt
Filed under: uncultured bacterium
Lineage: Bacteria
Description: bacterial SSU rRNA
Rfam family: Bacterial small subunit ribosomal RNA
Source: RNAcentral